Molecule: regulatory RNA element, 99 nt
Organism: Prevotella sp. S7-1-8
Lineage: Bacteria; Pseudomonadati; Bacteroidota; Bacteroidia; Bacteroidales; Prevotellaceae
Rfam family: TPP riboswitch aptamer (THI element)
About the family: Vitamin B(1) in its active form thiamin pyrophosphate (TPP) is an essential coenzyme that is synthesised by coupling of pyrimidine and thiazole moieties in bacteria. The previously detected thiamin-regulatory element, thi box was extended, resulting in a new, highly conserved RNA secondary structure, the THI element, which is widely distributed in eubacteria and also occurs in some archaea.
Source: Rfam
UGUUCUGUCGAGGGGUGCAAACCCAUUGGUUUGCUGAGAUCAUACCCGUUUAACCUGAUGCAGAUAAUGCUGCCGUAGGGAAUGUGAAACGACAUCUGA